UAGACUGCCCGCAGCGAUGGUCCGCGCGCGAGAGCGCGUGGCGCAAGAGGGAACCCGGUGCGAAUCCGGGGCUGCCCCGCAACGGUGUACUACCAGCCCGAUACCUGCCACCGCGACCGCCCGGAG
Molecule: non-coding RNA, 126 nt
Filed under: Tsukamurella paurometabola
Lineage: Bacteria; Bacillati; Actinomycetota; Actinomycetes; Mycobacteriales; Tsukamurellaceae
Also listed under: 1 other name
Source: RNAcentral